GCCCUGGUUGUGUAGUGGCCUAGCACAUGACCCUGUCACGGUCAUAGCCCGAGUUCAAAACUGAAAGUCUCGGCCGGGGCG
RNAcentral lists this transfer RNA (81 nucleotides) under Candidatus Woesearchaeota archaeon. Its description in RNAcentral is "tRNA-Asp". Lineage: Archaea; Nanobdellati; Candidatus Woesearchaeota. The record is from RNAcentral.